UGGACUAGGUGUCUCUUUGAUGUAAUU
Molecule: non-coding RNA, 27 nt
Filed under: Rattus norvegicus (Norway rat)
Lineage: Eukaryota; Metazoa; Chordata; Mammalia; Rodentia; Muridae
Source: RNAcentral